RNAcentral lists this ribosomal RNA (253 nucleotides) under uncultured bacterium. RNAcentral's name for it is "partial 16S ribosomal RNA". It matches the Rfam family "Bacterial small subunit ribosomal RNA", at positions 524 to 776 of the family's 1533-position model. The record is from RNAcentral.
UACGGGGGGGGUAAGCGUUGUUCGGAAUUACUGGGCGUAAAGGGCUCGUAGGCGGCCAACUAAGUCAGACGUGAAAUCCCUCAGCUUAACUGGGGAACUGCGUCUGAUACUGGAUGGCUUGGAUUCGGGAGAGGAAUGCGAAAUUCCAGGUGUAGCGGUGAAAUGCGUAGAUAUCUGGAGGAACACCGGUGGCGAAGGCGGCAUUCUGGACCGACAUUGACGCUGAGGAGCGAAAGCCAGGGGAGCAAACGGG